GCUGCUUGCUCAGGCAGCACAUAUGAAAAAUUAGGAUACAGAGAAGAUUAGCAUGGCCCCUCCGAAAGGAUUACACGCACAUUCGUGAAUCAGGCUCUUUAGAU
This is a small nuclear RNA of Perca fluviatilis (European perch), 104 nucleotides long. NCBI's taxonomy places the organism in Eukaryota, Metazoa, Chordata, Actinopteri, Perciformes, Percidae. The record is from RefSeq and is a predicted model, not a curated record.